GCUGCGGCCCUCAUCUGUUGGCACCUUUGGUCACUUCGGCUCCACUGCGGACGACUCAGCUGCUGACCAAGGAGUGGCAGACAUUUUCACAGAUGAGGGGCUCAGGGGCUUCGGAGACAGAACAUUCAGAUCAUGAAAGGAGCAGGGAAUUCAUUAAGGGGAUUCACUCCCAGAAACGGGAUGGCGAGCUGAGGGGAAGCUCCUAAAAGCAGCCUAGACGUAGCUUUUCCAGAGAGUUCAAGAGCAUAUGUCUAAAGAACUUACAAGGUUACGCGGAUCCCCUACUGGCUUAGGAGCUCCCAACAUUUAACUGCUCAGGCAGUUAAUACCUCAACCCAACAUUCUACCAGAGCAUCCCACGUCAGCAGCCUUUAAGAAGGUCCGUGAUCUUUCAUGAAGUCGGGAAGAUAAAUCUGACAAUGGACCAAAACCUCCCACGGCCUCUCCUGCUCCGCUGCGGACUCUAGCGGUGUUUCCGUCUGUACCCCCGGGCUCACUUUUCCUUCCGGGAAAUGCUCCACUGUGCUCUCUAGAAACCUGAAGCGCACAAAACACCCCUCGGGUAGAGGGUGCUGUUCAGUGUACCCUGGGGUGCAUCCAAGGGGUUUUGUAAAUGGUGAGGUAAUGCUGCAAGGAGGCGAACAGCCUGCCUAUGGUUGGACGUUAACCUAUAAACUGCCGCUGAAAUGGAAUUUUUCAGAGGUUGUAAGUACCACCCACACAUACUUAGUUUUUACUGAUCCUAGAGAAAAACCGAAAAAGCAAUGGAGUCAUUUUGAAGAUUCCGACUCCUCCACUCUUAUCCACCCCAUAGUGCCGGCAGGACAUCGCAUUCUUGCAGCCUCUCUGCGCUAGAAGACAUGUUUUCCUCACUCAACAUGGUGGGGUAGAAGGAUGCGAGAUUGCUGGUCCAAUAUCACCUAAGACUGAUGUGACGGAAUAGGCGCCCUGACGCCAAUGAGAGUGGGAGAGAGAAGGUGUCGUCGGUGGAUUAGGCCCAGCAUGAGCCUCGCUGACUGAACCCAGGGCAGCUCCUGAAAGCCUGCCAUCCCAGGUCCAGCUUGGAGUCUCAUUUUAUGCGCGAAAACCUCAAGGUGGAGUGAAGCAGCAAGCAGGAUUUUCCGGAGGUGAACGCAGCCGUCAGCAGGUUAUAAGGGGUGAUGACCCUCUGUAUGAGCCGUUUCUCCAGGGCGUCCUUUUCCAGGUAGUAAGAGAAGCCGUGCUUGGCCAAGCAGUGCUUUACGUCAGUCACUAAGUAAAUGGACAGAACAGUAAUUAGUAAUUGGUCUUCCCUACCUUGGUCUGCUUCCCUGAGAAUUCCGUGCCCCUGCCUCCUUAGUAAGCAGAGAAGGCCGGUUCAUAACCCUGCUGGGGUGAUGGCAAAGCCAUGCGUCAUCCGUGCCAUCUCACCAGGGUGGCAGUGAGUCUUAAAUAUAUUUAUUUGUUAUUCAUUUUUGUACCAGUCAACACCUUCUUCGUGUUUUCUCGUUUCGAUUCUAAUUUGAACGCAAAGUACUUUCUUCAUCCUGCUUCGCCUAUGAACAUUAAGAAAAAAAAACUCAUCUAAUUUAUGCAAACUGUGUUUAUGUGGGAGUUUAAUGUUGGGAGAGGUUAGAAAAAGCCUUAAAGGGGGAGGAGGGCUCCUCCUUCCUGAGAACUAGGGGAGGAGGAUAGGGUGGGAUGAGAUGAGGGAGGGAGGGACCUAUGAUUGAAAUGUUACGUGAAUAAUUUAAAAAAAUAAAUAAAAUUAAAAAUUAAAAAAAAAGAAGAAAAAAAGAAAGAAAACGACAGGAAAGCUGGGCUUGGUGGUAAACUCCCUUGAUCCUAGCACUUGGGAGGCAAAGGCAGGCUGUUACCUUUUAAUUUAAAGCCAGCCUGGUCUACAAAGUGAGAUCCAGGCUAGCCAGGGCUACACAGUAAGAUCUUGUUUCAAACAAACAAAAAAGAAAAAGGAAGAUUUCAUGGGCCAUAGGGAGGCGACAGGAGAUGGGGAGUUUUGGCAGCUGGUGUAAAUUCAGAAUGUGAAAUUGCUUUGUGCUCAGCUUCCGGGAGAAAUUCUGGGCUCUGGUGGAUACUAUAUAAAUGCUAUUCAGGAUUAGGCUGAGUUAUGGGUCUGAGGUUUUGGGGAGCCACCCAAUGCCAAGAAUCAGCACUCUUAGCUUACGAUUAGUCACCUCCUAUCUGAGACAUGGUUCUCAAGUCUCCAGAUCAAGAAUGGCUUUGUUCUGUUUUCUAUCAGACAGAAAUGGAUUCCAAAAUUAGAUUUAAAACUCAGUGCCAGAGCUAAAGUGAUAUACAGGGCACAUGGAACAAGGGUUUUGUGGGAAGAUAGUAGGGCAGAAUCAUCACCAGAUUCUAGUACUUUUAGAAUGCAAACAUGAAAAUACGUGGAAUCAGAGCUGUGGCUUCAGGAAUGUCAUCAUGUCCCUUCAGUGUCCUCUGUAAGAAAUAUCAAAUGUUAUAACACUUGUGUUUAGGACAAGGAAUUAAAAUCUUUUCAUCUCCCUCA
This is a long non-coding RNA of Meriones unguiculatus (Mongolian gerbil), 2509 nucleotides long. RefSeq lists it as uncharacterized. Lineage: Eukaryota; Metazoa; Chordata; Mammalia; Rodentia; Muridae. The transcript has 2 exons. The record is from RefSeq and is a predicted model, not a curated record.